RNAcentral lists this long non-coding RNA (432 nucleotides) under Homo sapiens (human). RNAcentral describes it as "non-protein coding lnc-CERK-4:1". Lineage: Eukaryota; Metazoa; Chordata; Mammalia; Primates; Hominidae. The record is from RNAcentral.
GGGCAGCACAGGGUUGCCACUGGGGAGCUGCAGCAGCUGCGGGUGCAGGAGGUGGUGGACUCCAUGGUGAAGAGUCUGGAGAGAGAGAACAUCUGGAAGAUGCAUUGUCUCAUGUUCUGGUGCAGCACCAGCUGUUGUGAGGACAGUCAGGCCUCCACGGAGCAGGUGCACCAGUGCAUCGAGUGCCACCAUGUGCCUCUGGCUUAAGCCCAGGCUUUGAUCACCAGUGAGCUGGAGAAGUUCCAGGACCACCUGGUCCGGUGCACCACGCAUUGCAACGACAAAGCCAAAGAUUCAAUAGAUGCUGGGAGUAAGGAGCUUCAGUUGAAGCAGAAGCUGGAAGGUGGUGUGACCAAGUGUGUGGAUGACCACAUGCACCUGCUCCCAACUAUGACCGAGAAGGUGAAGGAGGCUCUCUCAUCCAUUGGGAAA